GGGAAGCGAGCUGAUCCCCUUCGGGGGUGACGCUCGUGGAACGAGCGGCGGACGGGUGAGUAACACGUGGGUAACCUGCCUGUAAGAUCGGAAUAACUCCGGGAAACCGGAGCUAAUGCCGGGUAACAUGUUCUUCCGCAUGGAGGAACAUUAAAAGAUGGCUUCUUGCUAUCACUUACAGAUGGACCCGCGGCGCAUUAGCUAGUUGGUGAGGUAACGGCUCACCAAGGCGACGAUGCGUAGCCGACCUGAGAGGGUGAUCGGCCACACUGGGACUGAGACACGGCCCAGACUCCUACGGGAGGCAGCAGUAGGGAAUCUUCC
Molecule: ribosomal RNA, 324 nt
Filed under: marine sediment bacterium BB0608_2216_1.2_12G0
Lineage: Bacteria
Description: bacterial SSU rRNA
Rfam family: Bacterial small subunit ribosomal RNA
Source: RNAcentral